GGGGUUAAUUUAAUAAAUAAUAAAUAUGAAAAAAAAUUUUAAUAUAAUAUAUUUAAUGGGGGUUAAAGUAUUUUUAUAGAAAAAAUUUUAAAAUUUAUAGUGAAAUAGUAUUGUGAAAGAAAAAUUGAAAAUAUUGAAAUAAAAAUUUAUUUAAAAGUAAAUUUUAUUUAUUGUAUCUUGUGUAUCAGAGUUUUUUAAAAAAAAAAAUUGGGUAAAUUUAUUUCGAAAUUUAAAGAGUUAAUUAAUUAAAAAAGUUAAUAUUGCAUAAUUAUUUUAAAUAAUUAAUUGGAAAUGAAAAGUUAAUCGUUUUGAAUGAUAUCUAAUUUUUUUAGAAAAAAGUUUAAUUUUAAAUAAAUUUUAAAAAUAAUUAAUUAAUUAAUUAUUUUUAAAAUUUAAUUUUAUAUUUUAGGGGAUAAGCUUUAAAUUAGAAUUUUAUAAUAAAAGUAAAAAAAAUUGAAAUUUUUAAAAUUUAUAUUUUUUAUAAAUUAUAGUUUAUUAUCAAUAAUUUCAUUUGAUUAAAAUUUUAUUUUAAUUUAAAUUUUUAUAAAAAAAUAUUUUUUAAUUUAAUAAAAAUAGGUAUAAUGAUAAAAUUAGUAUAUAAUUUAUAAAUAAAAUAAAAAUUAUUUAAAUUAAUAAAAAGGAAUUCGGCAAAAAU
This 655-nucleotide ribosomal RNA is filed under the name Pieris oleracea (mustard white). Its description in RNAcentral is "partial 16S ribosomal RNA". Lineage: Eukaryota; Metazoa; Arthropoda; Insecta; Lepidoptera; Pieridae. The record is from RNAcentral.